RNAcentral lists this ribosomal RNA (550 nucleotides) under uncultured bacterium. Its description in RNAcentral is "bacterial SSU rRNA". It matches the Rfam family "Bacterial small subunit ribosomal RNA", at positions 355 to 896 of the family's 1533-position model. The record is from RNAcentral.
UGGGGAAUAUUGGACAAUGGGCGCAAGCCUGAUCCAGCCAUGCCGCGUGGGUGAAGAAGGCCUUCGGGUUGUAAAGCCCUUUUGUUGGGAAAGAAAAGCAGUCGGUUAAUACCCGAUUGUUCUGACGGUACCCAAAGAAUAAGCACCGGCUAACUUCGUGCCAGCAGCCGCGGUAAUACGAAGGGUGCAAGCGUUACUCGGAAUUACUGGGCGUAAAGCGUGCGUAGGUGGUGGUUUAAGUCUGUUGUGAAAGCCCUGGGCUCAACCUGGGAAUUGCAGUGGAUACUGGGUCACUAGAGUGUGGUAGAGGGUAGCGGAAUUUCCGGUGUAGCAGUGAAAUGCGUAGAGAUCGGGAGGAACAUCCGUGGCGAAGGCGGCUACCUGGACCAACACUGACACUGAGGCACGAAAGCGUGGGGAGCAAACAGGAUUAGAUACCCUGGUAGUCCACGCCCUAAACGAUGCGAACUGGAUGUUGGGUGCAAUUUGGCACGCAGUAUCGAAGCUAACGCGUUAAGUUCGCCGCCUGGGGAGUACGGUCGCAAGACUG